AUGCCCUCUUCCUCUUCCAUGUUCAUAUCAUCUUGGAGUACUGCCUAUUCUGAAGUUGGUGCAAUGGAGCCUGGAGCUGCACCUUCUGGACCUGGAGCCUGUUCAGGACCUGAAGCCGGCGGCGAUCUGCAGUACCUGGAGGUGGAGUUGGCGAGGCCUUGGGAGGGUGACGGCAAUCUGCAGCAGGGCGCUGGCCUUGGGAUGACGAGGUGGGGAUUUGCUGGCCCAGGACGAGGAGGGGGAUCUGCUGGCCCAGGAAGACGGGGAGGAUGGGAGGGGAUCUGCUGGGUGAGAUGGGAGGCGAUGGAGGUGGAGGAUCCAGAGGUGGGGGCGAUGGAGGUGGAGGAUCCAGAGGUGGGGGCGAUGGAGGUGGAGGAUCCAGAGGUGGGGGCGAUGGAGUUGGAGGAUCCAAAGGUGGGGGACGAUGGAGGCGGGCGGAUCUGGAAGACGACCUGGGUGGAGAUCAAGGAGAGAAUUCAAAAUUGA
Molecule: ribosomal RNA, 486 nt
Filed under: Triticum aestivum (bread wheat)
Lineage: Eukaryota; Viridiplantae; Streptophyta; Magnoliopsida; Poales; Poaceae
Description: partial small subunit ribosomal RNA
Source: RNAcentral